This 497-nucleotide ribosomal RNA is filed under the name uncultured bacterium. RNAcentral's name for it is "partial 16S ribosomal RNA". It matches the Rfam family "Bacterial small subunit ribosomal RNA", at positions 28 to 507 of the family's 1533-position model. The record is from RNAcentral.
GAUGAACGCUGGCGGCGUGCCUAAUACAUGCAAGUCGAGCGAACAGACGAGGAGCUUGCUCCUCUGACGUUAGCGGCGGACGGGUGAGUAACACGUGGAUAACCUACCUAUAAGACUGGGAUAACUUCGGGAAACCGGAGCUAAUACCGGAUAAUAUAUUGAACCGCAUGGUUCAAUAGUGAAAGACGGUUUUGCUGUCACUUAUAGAUAGAUCCGCGCCGCAUUAGCUAGUUGGUAAGGUAACGGCUUACCAAGGCAACGAUGCGUAGCCGACCUGAGAGGGUGAUCGGCCACACUGGAACUGAGACACGGUCCAGACUCCUACGGGAGGCAGCAGUAGGGAAUCUUCCGCAAUGGGCGAAAGCCUGACGGAGCAACGCCGCGUGAGUGAUGAAGGUCUUCGGAUCGUAAAACUCUGUUAUUAGGGAAGAACAAAUGUGUAAGUAACUAUGCACGUCUUGACGGUACCUAAUCAGAAAGCCACGGCUAACUACGUG